GUUGAUGAAUUAUUUAUUCACAAGUGCAGUAAAUUAUCAUACGGUUCAAGUUAUAAUAAGUACAUAUUCUAAGAAAACAAUUCCCGUGGGGUAGAACCAGGAAUGGAGGGACAAACCACAUGGAACAAGUGCCACCGUACAGUUGAGGGCUCCAGCACAAAAGUUGAACAAUAUUUUAUAUUCUGACAGACUCUAGAUUAGUCAGAGAGAAAAAUCUUUGCCAUAUCAGGACUGUUCCAUAACAAGAAACAGGCAAACACUUAGUCACAGACACUUGCUCACCAUGGACUGAAUUGUGGAAGAACAUCAAUAUAUUUACUUCAUCUCCUCCUUGUACUAACAUUUGUGGCACCAAUUGAAUCUCAAGAUAGAGGAAGCACCAAUGUCAACGCCAGAGAGAAAUUACAUUCAGUAAUCUCUUAACCAAUACAAAGAACCUUAAGAGCUAAAACUGGAAGCUUACUAAACAACGUUUUCGAAGUAUCAAAAGAAAACCAAAUAAAUUCCAGGUAAGAAUAUUAUUACAUGAUGCUUUUAAGCUAGAGUAUUUCGUGUUUCAAAGAUAGUCCAAAUUUUGCACUAAAUACAGUCAAAAACUGAAACUAAGUAGACAGGCUUCAUAACUAGUGGUAUAUUUUGGACUCAGGACUCGAGAAAUUUCCACAAAUUCAAGGUGGCUGCCACGAGUUUCAUACUUUCAGAAAUCUUCUGAGUUCUCAGUACCAGGAUCUAGCACCAAUAUACCGAUCAUAUAGACCUACACCAUGUGGAGGAGAAGCAGGACGAUGUAAUGUCCUUGUGUAAGGUUGGUAUUCAGAUGGCUGGGAAGCAGAAUAUGAGAGAUCAUGGUCCCUGUAUAGAACAUCGGGAUCACGGUGUUCAAUCUCCCCCCGAUACCUCAUUUCUGAAUCUAGAAACCAUCUAUCAUGAUGCUCAUGGAAUGGGUACCUUGCAUGCUUAAUCUGCUCUUGACGCCUCAGCUCCAAAUCUCGAAAUAGUCUGUCCUGAUGUUCAACAGGUGGAUCCAUUCUAUAAUCAUUCCUUUCCAAGAUCCGUUCGUAAGCAUAUGAUUGUGGAGGGGGUACAAGAGUUGGUGCUCGGGGUAAAGGUACACACGAUGGCAGAGGUGCAACAGGGGAUGCAUAAAUUUCCCUUUCGUAGGUGUCAAGGCGCCGCUUCCUAGUCCUGUCCUGAUCUGCAAAUUUAUGGAUUUCUGCUACGUGAUGUCGUUUUCUACUCUUGUCUCGAUCUGUAAAUGUACGUGUCUUUGCUCCAGGAUUUCUUUGCAACCCUUUCAACUCGGAGGUAUUGCUAGCAGCUCGAAAAAGCUUGCACAAAUUCUUCACCUGUUCUGAUGUCAGUCGACAAUCAAAUUUGUUCUUCUGGUAGUAGUUGUCUUUGAUAACCUUUUUAAACUUCUCCUCUGGCAGAGGCAAGCAGUCCUCAUAAACAUUGAACCGCACCUGUGAAGGGAAUGCAGACUUGAAAGCCUUUGGUUCAAUAUUGUAACCCCCAGGUCCUGUAGCUUUGUAGAUUCCAUAUAGCAAUUUCAAAUCAAAAUCAAACAAAAAUAGCUUCAUCCCUUCACAGAUUUGUAGAACAACAUCUCUCUUGCUUACUGGCAAACCUAAAACCUUGUAACGGUAGCAAUCCUUCUUUGUCUUAGAGCUACACAUAAAUAUCAUUCCCAUAAGUUUAGCAUUUUUGUUUGAAGGUUCUUGCUCAUUUGUAUCCUUGACAAUCCCUUCAUUGAUGGCCUUCAAAGCUAACUUCUUCCUUGAGUAUUUUCUCCCCUUUUUCUUCUGAGAAAUAUCUUCGACUUUAUCUUCAUCCUUCACCUUUUCUUUUUCAUCUUCUUCUUGCACUAGUUCAUCAUCAACAUUUGCUUUAUUAUUCAACUCCUCCAUAGUUUGAAGGUUCUUCUUGUUUAAAGGUUUUUGAUCAUUUAUAUCCUUGACAAUCACUUCAUUCUUACCCUUCAAAGCCAUCUUCUUCUUUAAGGCCUUUUUUCCUUUCUUCCUCAACUUAUCUAUUUUCUUGGAGAUAGCUUCUAUUUGUUCUUCAUUCUUCACCUCUUCUUUUGUAUCUUCUACAUGUGCCACUUCUUCAUUAGGAUUCUCCUUGUUAUUCAACUUCUCCAUUGUAUGUUCUUUCUCCUUGUCAUGUCCUAUAACCACAUUUGACUCUUUUGUAAGCUCUUCCUUCCCUUUACCAAAAGGAAUCAAAAUUGAUUCUUUGCCAUUCAUCUUCACUGGCUCCAAUAAAGUUAUCUCAGUUUCAACAUUGUCAAUAUUAUCAUUAUUCAUCUCUAUUUGCAUAUUUUCUUUCUCCUCUUCACCCCUAAUAACCAUAUCAAAUUCUUUUGAAAAUUGUUCCUUCUCUUCACCAUCAAGAAUCAAAAUUGAUUGUUCAUCGUUCACCUUCACUAUUUCUGAAGAAGCUCUAUCAAUUUCAAUGGCCCCACUCUUACCAUCAUUAUCCACUUCUUCCAUCUUAUGUUCUUUCUCCAUUUCACCUUCAAUAUUGCCGUUGCUAGUUUUUGGUGUUCCGCUAAAAGCAUCCUCGCCAAUUAUUUCAUCCAUUGGAAGUUUGGCAACCUAGAUAAUUCCAUGCACAAUUCUAAUCCAUCCAUUAGAUAUUUGCAUGAAGGGGCAACCUAUGGAACCUCAAUUUGUUUCCAUUUCCUCGAUGUAUCUCCUAUUAAAUAUGCCGAUCCUUGUCAACUUUAUUAUUAUGUCACAUCACAUGAUAUCCUCCACAUGAUUGCUAUAACUGUGCUUUUUCUUCUUGCUGUUUUUACUCAUUGACAAAGUAAGAAGCAAACGAGAUGAUAUGAAAAUGGAAAAAAUACAAACAGUCAAUCAAGAAAAGACACAUCAAUGUCUAGGAGGAAGAAAUUUAUCAAAAACAGGAUUGCGUAGUUUUAACGUCACCAAAUUAUUUUUUUACUUAAAACUGAAGGGCACAUUUAUUUUCACAAUAUUUUCUAAGGAAACAAUAAAUUGUUAGAAAAUGUGCCUAAAAAAAAAAACAAAGUUCUUAGAAAAUUGGCUUUUCAACUUUUCCUGUUUUAAAUGGACUUUUGAAACUAGCUUUUCCAGUUCUCUGAUUUUCCUUCUGAAGUUCAUAAUAGAAAAUUAGAAAACGUUCAUAUCACCUAUUGAAUGUAGUUUUUUAAAAUUUCCUCUCAAGUUAGGAAAAUUGGAAACUCCCAUUUCUUAAAUUUGGAUAAAUAACUGAGAUCAUGUCAAUUUGUUUAGUUUUUCAUGUUUUCAUGAUGAAAAAUUAAUUGGAAAACAUAUAUAGAAAUUAGAAACGUCUGAGAAGAAAGCUAAAAGAAUCUGUUGAAAUGCAGGCUAGAAUUUCUUCAAAAAGUACUGAGCUUUUCGCAUGGAAACAAGCUAAUAUCCAAGCCAAAAGCAUGUAAAUUCAAAUAUUAUCCAAAUGUUUGAAUAACUGCAUCUUAAACCUUGAUAAGAGUUCUUAGCAACUAUAAACUAUUCAAGGAACAAGAAAUGUGGAAUGCAAUGAAUCUACUAACGCAUUAUCAUGAAACAUAAAUUACAGCAAAAGAAUUCAAAAUACGAAUCUAUUAAGAACAACCUUGGCAAUAUCUUAAGCACAUGAAUUAGCCAACUACGAGCCCACAGGAUGAGAACACAAUAGAAGUGACUAAUUAAGCUCUGAAUCUAAAUUUCUUAAAAAAUUAAAGCUGAAACAAGUACAAAACAAUAGAUCGAAACGAAAUAUAUGACAUCGCUAGGGAAAUGAAAUUCGCCAAGAAUUUAAAAAGAAAGAAAAAACAAAUAAAUGGUAAAAUCAACCCUCAGUGACAUCGCUACCUCGCGAUUAACAAAAAACUGCAAUCAGAGGAUGAGGAGGACUCACCUUUCUUCCAGUGAGAGAGAGAA
Molecule: unclassified non-coding RNA, 3911 nt
Filed under: Hevea brasiliensis (rubber tree)
Lineage: Eukaryota; Viridiplantae; Streptophyta; Magnoliopsida; Malpighiales; Euphorbiaceae
Source: RNAcentral